AGGGAUGUAGCUCAGUGGUAGAGUACAUGUUUUGCAUGUAGGAGACCCCGGGUUUAUUUCCCAGCAUCUCUG
Molecule: non-coding RNA, 72 nt
Organism: Ameiurus melas (black bullhead)
Lineage: Eukaryota; Metazoa; Chordata; Actinopteri; Siluriformes; Ictaluridae
Source: the annotation of a GenBank genome assembly